RNAcentral lists this transfer RNA (91 nucleotides) under Streptomyces roseolus. RNAcentral describes it as "tRNA-Ala". The record is from RNAcentral. Lineage: Bacteria; Bacillati; Actinomycetota; Actinomycetes; Kitasatosporales; Streptomycetaceae.
CCCGCGCCUGGGCCGCCGGCGACCACGCCCCCGGGCUCGCGCUCUGGUCCCGGCUCACCGGGGCGGGCGUGUUCGCGCUCGCGGUGCCGGA